RNAcentral lists this ribosomal RNA (253 nucleotides) under uncultured bacterium. Its description in RNAcentral is "partial 16S ribosomal RNA". It matches the Rfam family "Bacterial small subunit ribosomal RNA", at positions 524 to 776 of the family's 1533-position model. The record is from RNAcentral.
GACGAACCGUGCGAACGUUGUUCGGAUUCACUGGGCUUAAAGGGCGCGUAGGCGGGCGGUCAAGUCCGGGGUGAAAUCUUCCGGCCCAACCGGAAAAUAGCCCGGGAUACUGGCCGCCUCGAGGGGGGUAGGGGCAUGCGGAACUUCCGGUGGAGCGGUGAAAUGCGUAGAUAUCGGAAGGAACGCCGGCGGCGAAAGCGGCGUGCUGGACCCCCCCUGACGCUGAGGCGCGAAAGCCAGGGGAGCGAACGGG